Molecule: transfer RNA, 85 nt
Filed under: Caudoviricetes sp.
Lineage: Duplodnaviria; Heunggongvirae; Uroviricota; Caudoviricetes
Description: tRNA-Leu
Rfam family: tRNA
About the family: Transfer RNA (tRNA) molecules are approximately 80 nucleotides in length.
Source: RNAcentral
ACUCCAAUGUUGGAAUGGGCAGACAAGGUAGUUUCAAAAACUACUGCUGAAAGGCGUGUGGGUUCAAAUCCCACUUGGAGUACCA